GGAAUCUUGCGCAAUGGGCGAAAGCCUGACGCAGCAACGCCGCGUGCGGGAAGAAGGCUUUCGGGCUGUAAACCGCUUUCAGCAGGAACGAAAAUGACGGUACCUGCAGAAGAAGGAGCGGCCAACUAUGUGCCAGCAGCCGCGGUGAUACAUAGGCUUCAAGCGUUGUCCGGAUUUAUUGGGCGUAAAGAGUUCGUAGGCGGUCAAGUAAGUCGGGUGUGAAAAUUCUGGGCUCAACCCAGAGACGCCACCCGAUACUGCUUAACUUGAGUUCGAUAGGGGAGUGGGGAAUUCCUAGUGUAGCGGUGAAAUGCGCAGAUAUUAGGAGGAACACCGGUGGCGAAGGCGCCACUCUGGAUCGAUACUGACGCUGAGGAACGAAAGCAUGGGUAGCAAACAGGAUUAGAUACCCUGGUAGUCCAUGCCGUAAACGGUGGGCACUAGGUGUGGGAUUCUAUUAACGAAUUCCGCGCCGUCGCUAACGCAUUAAGUGCCCCGCCUGGGGAGUACGGUCGCAAGACUAAAACUCAAAGGAAUUGACGG
This 543-nucleotide ribosomal RNA is filed under the name uncultured bacterium. RNAcentral's name for it is "bacterial SSU rRNA". It matches the Rfam family "Bacterial small subunit ribosomal RNA", at positions 358 to 916 of the family's 1533-position model. The record is from RNAcentral.